Molecule: long non-coding RNA, 2254 nt
Filed under: Chelonus insularis
Lineage: Eukaryota; Metazoa; Arthropoda; Insecta; Hymenoptera; Braconidae
Description: uncharacterized LOC118073128
Source: RNAcentral
ACCAAUUGAAGCUUUCAAGGAUUUAUUUGCAUAAGUGAAACUAUUAUCAUUAUUAUUUCGAUUUAUUAUUAUUUAAUUGUGAAGCUUAUUUUAUUCAUUAAUAAGUAAAUGUCGAAAAGCGAUAAUAGUUUUUUUACUCAUUGCAAAUAUCAUCUUAAGUUGAGUAAAAGAAAUGUACAUCAUCAUUAUUACUUGAAACAAUAUCAAUAUUUAGCUUUCUCUAUCAUCUUUGUAUGAUAGUUAAUAAUGAACCUCUAUAACCAGAAAAUUUAUAGAACAAUAGCGUGGUUGAUCAAGGAUAGAAUUACAGUUCUCGGGUCAUUGUGAAUCUAAUAUUCAUGGCCACAUCCAAGGUAAAUGAACUUCAAAUUUACAUUUUUCAGCUCAAAUAAUUUUGCGGUAAAAGUUUAAUAAUAAAUGAUCUUGAAAAUGGAAAAAAGAGGUUACUAGAUAAAAUGAAGGUUAAAUUGAGUGAUUAAAUGAGAAAAAAAAUAGUCGUAAGAAGCGAAUCAAGGUUUAUAAAUGAAAUUAAUUACUAUACUAUCCUGAGAAAGCGAUUCUGGUUGAAAAACUCUAAUUCCUAUGACUCAUAUCCUUAUGGUCUUGUCUACACUCCAAUCAUUAGUGGGAGCCCUCAAGUAACCGGGGAAUAACAUUAAAACGUCGUGAAAUCUGAGAAGACUGUGGUGAAUAUCUGGAACUAGGUCUUAAACUAGGGCAAUACCAAUGGGUUUCAGACGUUAUAGAAGUGUCUACCAAGCAGCACGACAACUCGCUUGAACGGAUUUCAACGGAGAAAAUCUCGGUGACUUGCAACAACUUUCUUUCUUGGUCCCCAAAGCCAUCGUCAAGAUACAACGAGAACAUUUACUUGGCUUAUUGGCUGGCAAACUUAUAGAAACAACAAGUUUACGAACUUUCUCCUUGUAGGCUGGUCACGAGACUCCUUGGAAAUCGCCAGACCAACGCUUCUUUCAGGACGUUUUCACACCCACAUGUCUCUUUAGUACAUAAGGAGAAAGAGUCGUUAGUGAAGGUUUCUCUGGCGCUUUGUAGAAAUCCUCCCACACUUGGUAUCUCAUCAAGUCAAUAACAGUCUUGGCGUCUUCAACAGAGUCGUGCUCCGCAACUUGGAUUUGACGACCAAGCUUGGUUUGGGCCAACAUUUUCAAACUAGUCUUUAACAUGUUACCUGUGUUAUCAAAUGCAUGACAUGUGUCAACAAUAGUUGGAUGAACGAUUUUGAGAACUCUUAGAUCAUUUUCUAAGGCAUGUCCCAUGAGAAUUGUUUCAGUCGUAAUAAAUGUUAAAAGUCUAGCUUGAACAUCUUGUAAAGUGGUGGUGCAAUUUUUAAGAUGGUCAGCAGUAAUUCCACUGAAGCGAGUAUUGUAGUCAAUAAUUUCAUUAUGUGGUUUAACAUAAGUAUUAUAAACUAUUUCUCCAUCCAAUCCAAUUACUGUAACUUUUGUUAAUUCCAGACCAAACUUGGUGUAGCACAUUUCGCAGUCCAAUGCGUAUAUUUUAAAAAGUGGAACUUUUGCAGGCUGGGUUACCACGAAUCCUUCAAAAGGUCCAUUGCAUCCAAUAUGCGCACCAGACCAGACAUGUCUCGGUGCUACUGUACAUCCUGACGAAAAUUCGAAACGGUUACAACAGGUUUCUGCACAUUCUGGUUGGCCAGGUUGGAUCCUUGGUUUGUACAUGCUCUUGUCAUACUAGGUGGUUGAACAUUACGACGUUGUUUAUGCUGAUAAACAAGCUUGCUGCUGGUUCCUUCAUGACUACGAUGCCAAAUUCUUCGUGUGAUGAUGAUCCUGAUGCAUUUGAGAGAUUUUCGUCAGUGUUAAUCAGCGUUUUAACCGUCUGUGAUGACUUAGGAACAUUUGAUGAAUCAGGACUACUUGGUGAAUCAUCAGUAACAUCACUUCCAGUAGUACCUGUGGUGCUAGUCCGAUCGAUGUCAUUUUGGUAUUCAGCAACUCCAAUUUCGAUGGAACCUCGUUGUCUCUGUCUCCGGAAUCGGCUGCAAUCUUUGGAAAAAGAGAAAACUUAGUGAGUGAUAUUGACACACACAUGCAAAAAAUUCCAUUGUUUGGAUUUUCACAAAAAUUUCUUGUGCUUUCUACCCAGCUUUGAAGUUGAUUAAUGAAUCUCUAGUUAAUUACUAGCAUGUGAUUUAACAGCUCCAACACUCAAUUUGGUUAGUUUGUAUAUCUCUGUACAAUACUUUCAACUCAACGUUACUAUCACUAAA